Molecule: ribosomal RNA, 1459 nt
Filed under: Limosilactobacillus fermentum
Lineage: Bacteria; Bacillati; Bacillota; Bacilli; Lactobacillales; Lactobacillaceae
Description: bacterial SSU rRNA
Rfam family: Bacterial small subunit ribosomal RNA
Source: RNAcentral
ACCUUGCUCAGGGUGAACGCCGGCGGUGUGCCUAAUACAUGCAAGUCGAACGCGUUGGCCCAAUUGAUUGAUGGUGCUUGCACCUGAUUGAUUUUGGUCGCCAACGAGUGGCGGACGGGUGAGUAACACGUAGGUAACCUGCCCAGAAGCGGGGGACAACAUUUGGAAACAGAUGCUAAUACCGCAUAACAUCCUUGUUCGCAUGAACAACGCUUAAAAGAUGGCUUCUCGCUAUCACUUCUGGAUGGACCUGCGGUGCAUUAGCUUGUUGGUGGGGUAACGGCUUACCAAGGCGAUGAUGCAUAGCCGAGUUGAGAGACUGAUCGGCCACAAUGGGACUGAGACACGGCCCAUACUCCUACGGGAGGCAGCAGUAGGGAAUCUUCCACAAUGGGCGCAAGUCUGAUGGAGCAACACCGCGUGAGUGAAGAAGGGUUUCGGCUCGUAAAGCUCUGUUGUUAAAGAAGAACACGUAUGAGAGUAACUGUUCAUACGUUGACGGUAUUUAACCAGAAAGUCACGGCUAACUACGUGCCAGCAGCCGCGGUAAUACGUAGGUGGCAAGCGUUAUCCGGAUUUAUUGGGCGUAAAGAGAGUGCAGGCGGUUUUCUAAGUCUGAUGUGAAAGCCUUCGGCUUAACCGGAGAAGUGCAUCGGAAACUGGAUAACUUGAGUGCAGAAGAGGGUAGUGGAACUCCAUGUGUAGCGGUGGAAUGCGUAGAUAUAUGGAAGAACACCAGUGGCGAAGGCGGCUACCUGGUCUGCAACUGACGCUGAGACUCGAAAGCAUGGGUAGCGAACAGGAUUAGAUACCCUGGUAGUCCAUGCCGUAAACGAUGAGUGAUAGGUGUUGGAGGGUUUCCGCCCUUCAGUGCCGGAGCUAACGCAUUAAGCACUCCGCCUGGGGAGUACGACCGCAAGGUUGAAACUCAAAGGAAUUGACGGGGGCCCGCACAAGCGGUGGAGCAUGUGGUUUAAUUAGAAGCUACGAGAAGAACCUUACCAUGUCUUGACAUCUUGCGCCAACCCUAGAGAUAGGGUGUUUCUUUCGGGAACACAAUGACAGGUGGCGCAUGGUUGUUGUCAGCUCGUGUCGUGAGAUGUUGGGUUAAGUCCCGCAACGAGCGCAACCCUUGUUAAUAGUUGCCAGCAUUAAGUUGGGCACUAUAGUGAGACUGCCGGUGACAAACCGGAGGAAGGUGGGGACGACGUCAGAUCAUCAUGCCCCUUAUGACCUGGGCUACACACGUGCUACAAUGGACGGUACAACGAGUCGCGAACUCGCGAGGGCAAGCAAAUCUCUUAAACCCGUUCUCAGUUCGGACUGCAGGCUGCAACUCGCCUGCAAGAAGUCGGAAUCGAUAGUAAUCGCGGAUCAGCAUGCCGCGGUGAAUACGUUCCCGGGCCUUGUACACACCGCCCGUCACCCCAUGAGAGUUGUAACACCCAAAGUCGGUGGG